UUGAGUUAAUUCUCUUUUUAUUUUCCUUCUAAACUUUUGGGUGAUGGGAUUAAUAUUCCUCCACUUUGUCCCUCUUUUUUUGUCAAUUAGUGCUGUCUUUUUAAUUUUAUUUAUUUAUUUACUUUUGUUUCCUUUGAUUAGUUGGGUAAUUGGAGGAAAACCCUUUUGUUUUUAUAUUUAUUUAUUUUUCUCCAAUGCUUUUCUUUUCUCAUAGAGAAAAGGAAUAAUUGCCAGUGCUUCCUUAACCCCCUUUGGGCCCCACUCGGCCCAAUCUAGUAGGCCCGUUUUCUUAAUGACUGCCCCUACCAUGUGUUAAUAUUACCAAAAGGUUAUUAAUCUAGUUUCUUCAUCACAACCCGCAAUUAUAUUGGUGUUCAUUCUGUUUUAGUUUUCG
Molecule: long non-coding RNA, 394 nt
Filed under: Linum usitatissimum (flax)
Lineage: Eukaryota; Viridiplantae; Streptophyta; Magnoliopsida; Malpighiales; Linaceae
Description: long non-coding RNA (LUSI_LNC005382)
Source: RNAcentral